Molecule: ribosomal RNA, 251 nt
Filed under: uncultured bacterium
Lineage: Bacteria
Description: partial 16S ribosomal RNA
Rfam family: Bacterial small subunit ribosomal RNA
Source: RNAcentral
ACGGAGGAUCCGAGCGUUAUCCGGAUUUAUUGGGUUUAAAGGGAGCGUAGGUGGAUUGUUAAGUCAGUUGUGAAAGUUUGCGGCUCAACCGUAAAAUUGCAGUUGAAACUGGCAGUCUUGAGUACAGUAGAGGUGGGCGGAAUUCGUGGUGUAGCGGUGAAAUGCUUAGAUAUCACGAAGAACUCCGAUUGCGAAGGCAGCUCACUAGACUGUUACUGACACUGAUGCUCGAAAGUGUGGGUAUCAAACAG